CCGCCGCCGUAUCACUAUCCCUAUGUCGAGCUUUCUGCAACAAAAUUUGCAGGCUCGACAAAAAAACCUCUGGUAUUUAUUUAUUUAGCAAUAUUACAAAAAAAUAAAACUAAAUACUUAACUCCCGAGAAAAAUUCAAAACAGGGAAGUCCAUAAAAUUUGACAAAAUCAAACGCUACCAAUCAACUGAACAAUUUGUACAGG
This 204-nucleotide long non-coding RNA is filed under the name Mytilus galloprovincialis (Mediterranean mussel). The record is from RNAcentral. Lineage: Eukaryota; Metazoa; Mollusca; Bivalvia; Mytilida; Mytilidae.